RNAcentral lists this ribosomal RNA (214 nucleotides) under uncultured bacterium. Its description in RNAcentral is "partial 16S ribosomal RNA". It matches the Rfam family "Bacterial small subunit ribosomal RNA", at positions 524 to 736 of the family's 1533-position model. The record is from RNAcentral.
UACGUAGGGCGCAAGCGUUGUCCGGAAUUAUUGGGCGUAAAGAGCUCGUAGGCGGCCUGUUGCGUCCGCUGUGAAAUCCCGGGGCUCAACCCCCGGGCCUGCAGUGGAUACGGGCUGGCUAGAGGCAGGCAGGGGAGAACGGAAUUCCUGGUGUAGCGGUGAAAUGCGCAGAUAUCAGGAGGAACACCGGUGGCGAAGGCGGUUCUCUGGGCCU